CGAACGCUGGCGGCAUGCCUAACACAUGCAAGUCGAACGAGAACGCUCCUUCGGGAGUUAGUAGAGUGGCGCACGGGUGAGUAACGCGUGGGAACCUGCCAAGCAGUAUGGAAUAACCUUUGGAAACGAAGGCUAAUACCGUAUACGCCCUUCGGGGGAAAGAUUUAUCGCUGUUUGAUGGUCCCGCGUCUGAUUAGCUAGUUGGUGAGGUAACGGCCCACCAAGGCGACGAUCAGUAGCUGGUCUGAGAGGAUGAUCAGCCACACUGGGACUGAGACACGGCCCAG
RNAcentral lists this ribosomal RNA (287 nucleotides) under uncultured Magnetovibrio sp. Its description in RNAcentral is "partial 16S ribosomal RNA". It matches the Rfam family "Bacterial small subunit ribosomal RNA", at positions 30 to 334 of the family's 1533-position model. Lineage: Bacteria; Pseudomonadati; Pseudomonadota; Alphaproteobacteria; Rhodospirillales; Magnetovibrionaceae. The record is from RNAcentral.